CGGUAGAUUGAGAGCUUUGCCUUCUGGGUCAGCUCCCUUUUCGUCACAACUGUGUGGUGAAGCGCAUGCAACACCACACCCACUGCUCCGACUCUCCAGUCAAUCGCAUGCCCCAUCAUCCCCUCACUCAUGAACAAAACCCAGAGGUACUUGAACUCCUUCACUUGGAGCAAGGACUCAUUCCCCGCCCGGAGUAGGCAAUCCACCACUUUCCUACUGAGAACCAUGGCCUCGGAUUUAGAGAAGAUGCUGUUGGACCAGAUUGGGAGCUCAGUGCUGUGAGGGAGUGUUGGUGUUUAUAUUGCGAGCACAAGAACUUUGGACUACAGGGAGAAGUUUUUCUGGGUCAGAGCAGGGAAUGCUGGGAAAAUGGCACCAGAAGCAGAGCCAGACAAGCGAGCAAUGGAAAACAGGGAUCAGCAGUCUCUACAGACAUCAUGACAGAGGCAAAGCGAUUGGGAGAAUUCAUUGAUGGAGUAAGGCAGAACACAGUCACGCCUGGAAGUCUAACACCUGGUCCACUGCCUGAGCAGCGUGUGAUGGAUGUGUUGCUGAACUGCUGUGGCUCACAUGAAAGAUGGCACUGAUAUGGAGAGGACCUGAGGAAAGCAGAGCUGGUCAGAUUUCCAAAUGAAACAUGAUCCUGCACUGACAUGGGAAUAACCAUCCAAAUAGAGUGAUGUCAUGUUCCAACUUCGAAAGACUAUCUCAAAUUUGUGUUGUCUUUUGAGUUAGUUGUGGCUAAACAGUCAGAAGUUUCUAUUAAUCAGACCCCAUCAAUGCAAGAGUAUGCAAUCACAGUGAAAUCACUCUCUCCCCCCGAUGUGAAAAAAAAAAAAAAAAAAAGUUUU
Acanthopagrus latus (yellowfin seabream) is the source of this 851-nucleotide long non-coding RNA. RefSeq lists it as uncharacterized. The record is from RefSeq and is a predicted model, not a curated record. Lineage: Eukaryota; Metazoa; Chordata; Actinopteri; Spariformes; Sparidae. The transcript is spliced from 4 exons.